This 2772-nucleotide ribosomal RNA is filed under the name Cronobacter sakazakii. RNAcentral describes it as "bacterial LSU rRNA". It matches the Rfam family "Bacterial large subunit ribosomal RNA". Lineage: Bacteria; Pseudomonadati; Pseudomonadota; Gammaproteobacteria; Enterobacterales; Enterobacteriaceae. The record is from RNAcentral.
AGCGUACACGGUGGAUGCCCUGGCAGUCAGAGGCGAUGAAGGACGUGCUAAUCUGCGAAAAGCGCCGGUAAGGUGAUAUGAACCGUUAUAACCGGCGAUGUCCGAAUGGGGAAACCCGGUGCACUUCGGUGCAUCAUCGUUAGCUGAAUACAUAGGCUAACGAGGCGAACCGGGGGAACUGAAACAUCUAAGUACCCCGAGGAAAAGAAAUCAACCGAGAUUCCCCCAGUAGCGGCGAGCGAACGGGGAACAGCCCAGAGCCUGAAUCAGCUUGUGUGUCAGUGGAACGGUCUGGAAAGGCCGGCGAUACAGGGUGACAGCCCCGUACACGAAGGCACACAGGCUGUGAGCUCGAUGAGUAGGGCGGGACACGUGAUAUCCUGUCUGAAGAUGGGGGGACCAUCCUCCAAGGCUAAAUACUCCUGACUGACCGAUAGUGAACCAGUACCGUGAGGGAAAGGCGAAAAGAACCCCGGCGAGGGGAGUGAAACAGAACCUGAAACCGUGUACGUACAAGCAGUGGGAGCCUUCGUAAGAGGGUGACUGCGUACCUUUUGUAUAAUGGGUCAGCGACUUAUAUUCUGUAGCAAGGUUAACCGUAUAGGGGAGCCGAAGGGAAACCGAGUCUUAACCGGGCGUUAAGUUGCAGGGUAUAGACCCGAAACCCGGUGAUCUAGCCAUGGGCAGGUUGAAGGUUGGGUAACACUAACUGGAGGACCGAACCGACUAAUGUUGAAAAAUUAGCGGAUGACCUGUGGCUGGGGGUGAAAGGCCAAUCAAACCGGGAGAUAGCUGGUUCUCCCCGAAAGCUAUUUAGGUAGCGCCUCGUGAACUCAUCUCCGGGGGUAGAGCACUGUUUCGGCUAGGGGGCCAUCCCGGCUUACCAACCCGAUGCAAACUGCGAAUACCGGAGAAUGUUAUCACGGGAGACACACGGCGGGUGCUAACGUCCGUCGUGAAGAGGGAAACAACCCAGACCGCCAGCUAAGGUCCCAAAGUCAUGGUUAAGUGGGAAACGAUGUGGGAAGGCCCAGACAGCCAGGAUGUUGGCUUAGAAGCAGCCAUCAUUUAAAGAAAGCGUAAUAGCUCACUGGUCGAGUCGGCCUGCGCGGAAGAUGUAACGGGGCUAAACCAUGCACCGAAGCUGCGGCAGCGACGCUUAUGCGUUGUUGGGUAGGGGAGCGUUCUGUAAGCCUGUGAAGGUGUGCUGUGAGGCAUGCUGGAGGUAUCAGAAGUGCGAAUGCUGACAUAAGUAACGAUAAAGCGGGUGAAAAGCCCGCUCGCCGGAAGACCAAGGGUUCCUGUCCAACGUUAAUCGGGGCAGGGUGAGUCGACCCCUAAGGCGAGGCCGAAAGGCGUAGUCGAUGGGAAACAGGUUAAUAUUCCUGUACUUGGUGUUACUGCGAAGGGGGGACGGAGAAGGCUAUGUCGGCCGGGCGACGGUUGUCCCGGUUUAAGCGUGUAGGCUGACUUUCCAGGCAAAUCCGGAAAGUUAAGGCUGAGGCGUGAUGACGAGGCACCACGGUGCUGAAGUGACAAAUGCCCUGCUUCCAGGAAAAGCCUCUAAGCAUCAGGUAACAUCAAAUCGUACCCCAAACCGACACAGGUGGUCAGGUAGAGAAUACCAAGGCGCUUGAGAGAACUCGGGUGAAGGAACUAGGCAAAAUGGUGCCGUAACUUCGGGAGAAGGCACGCUGACAUGUAGGUGAAGCCCCUGCGGGUGGAGCUGAAGUCAGUCGAAGAUACCAGCUGGCUGCAACUGUUUAUUAAAAACACAGCACUGUGCAAACACGAAAGUGGACGUAUACGGUGUGACGCCUGCCCGGUGCCGGAAGGUUAAUUGAUGGGGUUAUCGCAAGAGAAGCUCCUGAUCGAAGCCCCGGUAAACGGCGGCCGUAACUAUAACGGUCCUAAGGUAGCGAAAUUCCUUGUCGGGUAAGUUCCGACCUGCACGAAUGGCGUAAUGAUGGCCAGGCUGUCUCCACCCGAGACUCAGUGAAAUUGAACUCGCUGUGAAGAUGCAGUGUACCCGCGGCAAGACGGAAAGACCCCGUGAACCUUUACUACAGCUUGACACUGAACAUUGAGCCUUGAUGUGUAGGAUAGGUGGGAGGCUUUGAAGCGUGGACGCCAGUCUGCGUGGAGCCAACCUUGAAAUACCACCCUUUAAUGUUUGAUGUUCUAACCUGGCGCCGUAAUCCGGCGUGGGGACAGUGUCUGGUGGGUAGUUUGACUGGGGCGGUCUCCUCCCAAAGUGUAACGGAGGAGCACGAAGGUCAGCUAAUCCUGGUCGGACAUCAGGAGGUUAGUGCAAUGGCAUAAGCUGGCUUGACUGCGAGAGUGACGGCUCGAGCAGGUGCGAAAGCAGGUCAUAGUGAUCCGGUGGUUCUGUAUGGAAGGGCCAUCGCUCAACGGAUAAAAGGUACUCCGGGGAUAACAGGCUGAUACCGCCCAAGAGUUCAUAUCGACGGCGGUGUUUGGCACCUCGAUGUCGGCUCAUCACAUCCUGGGGCUGAAGUAGGUCCCAAGGGUAUGGCUGUUCGCCAUUUAAAGUGGUACGCGAGCUGGGUUUAGAACGUCGUGAGACAGUUCGGUCCCUAUCUGCCGUGGGCGCUGGAGAAUUGAGGGGGGCUGCUCCCAGUACGAGAGGACCGGAGUGGACGCAUCACUGGUGUUCGGGUUGUCAUGCCAAUGGCACUGCCCGGUAGCUAAAUGCGGAAGAGAUAAGUGCUGAAAGCAUCUAAGCACGAAACUUGCCCCGAGAUGAGUUCU